This 254-nucleotide ribosomal RNA is filed under the name uncultured bacterium. RNAcentral's name for it is "partial 16S ribosomal RNA". It matches the Rfam family "Bacterial small subunit ribosomal RNA", at positions 524 to 776 of the family's 1533-position model. The record is from RNAcentral.
UACGUAGGGGGCGAGCGUUGUCCGGAUUCAUUGGGCGUAAAGAGCUCGUAGGCGGCUUGGCAAGUCGGGUGUGAAAACUUCAGGCUCAACCUGGAGCGGCCACUCGAUACUGCCAUGGCUUGAGUCCGGUAGGGGACCACGGAAUUCCUGGUGUAGCGGUGAAAUGCGCAGAUAUCGGGAAGAACACCCGUGGCGAAGGCGGUUCUCUGGGACGGUACUGACGCUGAGACGCGAAAGCGUGGGGAGCGAACAGG